This 173-nucleotide small RNA is filed under the name Gopherus agassizii (Agassiz's desert tortoise). RNAcentral describes it as "TUC338 (ENSGAGG00000013972.1)". Lineage: Eukaryota; Metazoa; Chordata; Testudines; Testudinidae. The record is from RNAcentral.
UUGACAAGUAUUAAUCUGAAGUCCUCUCUCUAUCUCCACAAUGGUACAGGCGUUGCAAGAGCAUUGCAAGCUUUCAUAUGCUGCCCCAGCAGUGUACCUCAACUCUGACCUGGACAGACCACCAGUGAUGGGACAGUAAGUCAGUUUUGAUCCCUAUUUAGUCCUUGGCCUCU